This 249-nucleotide ribosomal RNA is filed under the name uncultured bacterium. RNAcentral describes it as "partial 16S ribosomal RNA". It matches the Rfam family "Bacterial small subunit ribosomal RNA", at positions 796 to 1041 of the family's 1533-position model. The record is from RNAcentral.
CACGCCCUAAACGAUGCGAACUAGGUGUUGGGGAAGGAGACUUCUUUAGUACCGUAGCUAACGCGUGAAGUUCGCCGCCUGGGGAGUACGGUCGCAAGAUUAAAACUCAAAGGAAUUGACGGGGACCCGCACAAGCGGUGGAUGAUGUGGUUUAAUUCGAUGCAACGCGAAAAACCUUACCCACCUUUGACAUGUACGGAAUCCUUUAGAGAUAGAGGAGUGCUCGAAAGAGAGCCGUAACACAGGUGC